This 120-nucleotide ribosomal RNA is filed under the name Pteropus alecto (black flying fox). The record is from RNAcentral. Lineage: Eukaryota; Metazoa; Chordata; Mammalia; Chiroptera; Pteropodidae.
UUUAAUAAAUAGGCUGAUCCUGAGCAAGCCGGAUCCUGUCUGAUCUCAGAAGCUAAGCAGGGUUGGACCUGGUUAGUACUUGGAUGGGAGACCACCUAGGAAGACCAGGUGCUGUCGGCG